GAUCCGAUGGGACCCAAUAUCUUCCAUUUUUUCAAAACUUAGAUUUGUAUCAUAGCACGGACAUAUAUUUAGUAGAAUAUGGUAUAACAUGUAAUUUUUGCCGAACAUAAAGGAAAGAACUCUUAUGUCUGCAUAAACACGAUAUAUGGUUAAAUGAAUUCUAGCUGUUUUCAAAUCGAUCAGGAUCGCCGGAUGGCUGAAAUAGAAAGUCAGCGGAUCUGUAUGUAUAGUGGGAUCAUAUGAAGAGUAUGCUAUUAUUUUAGAUUUAAUCAAUUUGAUGAAUUACUCCUAAAGGUUCACACCAAACUAGUGCUAGUUGAUGAGAGUUACUUCGGAAACAAAAAAAGUAAAGUCAAAAAAAUUUGAAGUAUUCUCUCAAUUCUAAUAAAAUGUAAUCGGAUCAAGUAUGAGUUUGCGAUCAGAGCAUAUAUGGAUAGAACUUAUAAAGGGGUCUCGAAAAAUAAGUAAUUUCUGCUGGGCCUUUAUCCUUUUUGUAGGUUCAGUAGGAUUCUUAUUGGUUGGAAUUUCCAGUUAUCUUGGUAGAAAUUUGAUAUCUUUUUUUCCCUCUCAGCAAAUCGUUUUUUUUCCACAAGGGAUCGUCAUGUCUUUCUACGGAAUCGCGGGUCUCUUUAUUAGCUCCUAUUUGUGGUGCACAAUUUCCUGGAAUGUAGGCAAUGGUUAUGAUCGAUUCGAUAGAAAGGAAGGCAUAGUGUGUAUUUUUCGUUGGGGAUUUCCUGGAAAAAAUCGUCGCAUAUUCCUCCGAUUCCUUAUAAAAGAUAUUCAGUCCAUUCGAAUAGAAGUUAAAGAGGGUAUUUUUGCACGCCGUGUCCUUUAUAUGGAAAUUCGAGGCCAGGGGACCAUUCCCUUAACUCGUACUGAUGAAAAUUUGACUCCACGAGAAAUUGAACAAAAGGCUGCUGAAUUGGCCUAUUUCUUGCGUGUACCAAUUGAAGUAUUUUGAGAAAUGCGUGGAAAAAUAGAUGCUUUUUCAACAAGAGGGAAAAAUGCAAGAAUCUUUUUUCCUAUAACAUAACUUAAGUGUGAAGUUUCAUCAGAAGGUUUAUUCAAGCUAAAGCGGGCGGAACAACCAUAAACGGAAACUUUUUUCGUGAUUUUUUAUACGUGUGCAAAUCCACGCAACUAAAAUUAAACAAGUAACAAAUCGAAAUAAUAUAUUCAUCUCAUAUAUCAAACUAUUUCGGUAUAAAGAAAUUAAUCUUCUUUUUAAGUUCAAUAUUUAGUUGGAAUUGAUACAGAUAAAUCCUAUUUUAUAAAUUAUUUUUUUUGUCAAUCGACGUUUUUUUCUCCUUUCUUUUGCGUUCCUUAAUGACCAAUACAAAAAUAACAAUUAGAUUUCUUAAUAAUGAUAACUAGCCAAUUUCUGUCUUGUUUUGCCACUUUGAUUAUCGCAAUCUCCUUCCCUCAAUUAUUUUAUUCCUGACUGUGGGUAAUCAGUAAAUUUGUUUUGAAAUAUUGGAUAUUUUGAUAUUUGAGAGAAAAGGAGUUCUUUCGUCUCAAAAUAUAACUAAUAUUCAUUACUUAAAUUAAAGUGGUUCUUUCGAUCAUUCAUCGAAAAAAGACACUUGUUUUGUUGACCGAUUGAGAUAUCGGAAAAGGUUAUUUUUUAAUAUUUCUUCAUUCAAAGUGGAUUCUUAAUUGAUUUCUCUAUUCUUUCUAGAUUCAAUAACCGCAAAGAAAAUAGAUUUAUAGGUUUCAUACUUUGUAUAGAACUCAUGUGUGAAAGAAAUAUUAGAUUGCAUAGAGUCAAUGAAUGAGGUGGGUUGAUUAACAAUUCACAGAUGAAAAAUGACAAAAAAGAAAGCAUUCACUCCCCUUUUAUAUCUUGUAUCUAUAGUAUUUUUGCCCUGGUGGCUUUCUCUCUCAUUUAAUAAAAGUCUGGAAUCUUGGGUUAAUAAUUGGUGGAAUGCUGGGCAAUCCGAAAUUUUUUUGAAUGAUAUUCAAGAAAAGAGUAUUCUAGAAAAAUUCAUAGAAUUAGAGGAACUCCUCGUCUUAGACGAACUGAUCGAGGAAUACUCGGAGACACAUCUACAAAAAUUUCGUAUAGGAAUCCAAAAAGAAGCGAUCCAAUUAAUCAACAUAUACAACGAGGGUCGGAUCCAUACGAUUUUGCACUUCUCGACAAAUAUAAUCUGUUUUGUUAUUCUAAGCGGUUUUUCUAUUUUGGGUAAUGAAGAACUUGUUAUUCUUAACUCUUGGACCCAGAAAUUCCUAUAUAACUUAAGCGACACAGUCAAAGCUUUUUCUAUUCUUUUAUUAACGGAUUUAUGUAUCGGAUUCCAUUCACCUCAUGGUUGGGAACUAAUGGUUGGCUCUGUCUACAAAGAUCUUGGAUUUGUUCAUAAUGAUCAAAUUAUAUCUGGUCUUGUUUCCACUUUUCCAGUCAUUCUUGAUACAAUUUUUAAAUAUUGGAUUUUCCGUUAUUUAAAUCGUGUAUCUCCUUCACUUGUAGUUAUUUAUCAUUCAAUGAAUGACUGAUAAAAGAUCCACUGAUAUUAAUCUAAUCCAACCAGAACCUUUGUUACUUUGUAGUUGUACAUAAACAAAACAUUGCAAGUCCUACUUACGCUUUCUAUUUCGACCCAUCUGGGGGGAUUCAUCCUAUAAUUAUAUUCCAGUAAAAUAUUAUUCCAUUAAAUUUAUUCCAGUAACUAGCAGAAUCGUGGAUAGGGAACUAUACUAGCGACUUACCCCCACUUAUUGUCUAUUGUAGAAAUUUUGGGAUCAACGAUUGGAC
This 2755-nucleotide long non-coding RNA is filed under the name Coffea arabica (coffee). RNAcentral's name for it is "long non-coding RNA (CARA_LNC000001)". Lineage: Eukaryota; Viridiplantae; Streptophyta; Magnoliopsida; Gentianales; Rubiaceae. The record is from RNAcentral.